RNAcentral lists this ribosomal RNA (373 nucleotides) under uncultured eukaryote. RNAcentral describes it as "partial 18S ribosomal RNA". It matches the Rfam family "Eukaryotic small subunit ribosomal RNA", at positions 592 to 976 of the family's 1831-position model. The record is from RNAcentral.
CAAUAGCGUAUAUUAAAGUUGUUGCAGUUAAAAAGCUCGUAGUUGGAUUUCUGCCAGGGUGCCAAUGUCCGCCGAAGUGCGUGCGCAGCGGCGCCCUCGCAUCCUUCUGUUAACGCCUCUCGGCAUUUACUUGCCGGUGGUGGGCUCAGAUAAUUUACCUUGAGAAAAUUAGAAUGUUUCAGGCAGGCUAGGCCGGAAUACAUUAGCAUGGAAUAAUGGAAUAGGACUACGGUCUCGUUGUUGGUUUGAGGGACUGGAGUAAUGAUUAAUAGGGAUAGUUGGGGGCAUUAGUAUUUAAUUGUCAGAGGUGAAAUUCUCAGAUUUGUUAAAGACUAACUUAUGCGAAAGCAUUUGCCAAGGAUGUUUUCAUUAA